Molecule: long non-coding RNA, 7809 nt
Organism: Carya illinoinensis
Lineage: Eukaryota; Viridiplantae; Streptophyta; Magnoliopsida; Fagales; Juglandaceae
Exons: 7
Source: RefSeq, a predicted model, not a curated record
AUAGAAUAUUUAAACAUGUGAGGGUUGUCAUGGAUGGGUGCAGUAACUAACAAUAAUAAAUAUCCGACUCUAUGUGUUAGAAUAAUCAUUUAAAAAAACAUGCACAAAGCCACUUUUUUAUCUAGAAUACUGUAAGUCAUUUCAUCAUAACAUAGCAUGUUUUUUAUGAUGUAGAUUCACUUGUAAUAGCAUGCCAAUAAGGGAUACAAAAAAGAGUAUAGGUGUUGUGUUUCUCAAAAAGGAAAAACAUUACCAAAUGUCUAAAAACUGGAAGUGUAUGACAGUAGUAAGCUAUCUGUAAGCAUGAUUUUCACUCUCUAAAACCAGGUUGGUCCUCCACUUUGAUAAAAAUUAAUGCUUUUUGUUGUUUGAGUGGGAUUCGAUAGAAUAACUUUAAUAAUUUAGACAGCCAUACUGGCUUUCAAGAUCAAGGUUUGAAGAAUGUGUUAAUUUUUCACCAAAUUUUUGGUACUAAUUUAUAUAAAUAUCUCACAAAAUCCCACAAACCUGAGAUGCACCAUCUCUACCACAAAUCUCAGCUUGUGGACUAAAUAUAUUUGUCCAUUAGACUAACUGGACCCUUCUCAGUCAUUUUUUCAGUUUCCCCUUUCUCUGUUCUUAAAGAAGAUGAAGGCAAAUCCAUGUUUUCUGAAACAGUUUUUCCUUGAACAAACAGACAAGUCUGUGAUGCCUCCAUUUGAUCACCCAAUAUUUGUAGAUUAAUGAGUUUAUACGAGUUAGGCCAUUCUAUGAGAUUCUUGCCUUUUAAUAUGGGAAGGUUAAUUUUCAAAAGCUGAUUGCCAGAGCAUUUAAUAAUUCUAUUGAGUCAGAGUCAAUUCACUUCGACAUUAUGACUGUGCUUCUUCUCAAUUACUACUACUUAUUUAGAUGCCUAUUUACUGAUCUUCAUCUUCAUAUUCAUGACCUGGUUCAACCUUUGAAUUUGGAGGCAUAAAUGCUGAGUGAUUAUUGUUAUAUUCUGUUGCUUGCUUUCAAGUCAAAAAUUUAUUUGGCUGUUUGAGUGUAACAGAAAUAUAUUGUAUUUCAAUAGAGGUUAUUGCCUACAUAUCGCUCUGCAUUGUAUUUGUAUGUACAUUUUUUGUUGUACAUACACAAGGGGACCACAAGUGACUGAGUUUGUGUCAUAGUUUUUAAUUUUUCUGAUGAGUGUUUGUUUUAAUUUUGGUUUUAUUACAAUAUGAACGGAGUAUACCCAUUUUAGCCAUUAAAUAUGGCCAUGCAUAUGUAAAUAGGAAGAAUUUUGUAUGCGGAAGUUUCUGUGUAAGGUCUUGAAGAGGGUUUUUUCAAUUGUACUGGAUGUGCUAAAAAACAUUUUAGCCCGAGAAACCAACACUGUGACAUUUUAUUUGAUUUUCAUGUAAGUUUCCAAUUGCAACCAUGGCCAACAAUUCACAUUCUAGCCGAGCAUGUGAUAUGAAUACGGACUAUCUAUUGUUGUAGGCUUUUGUUGUCGACUUUAUAUUCCAUCUACCUCUUUUAGACUUGAUUUACCUUUCAAUCUUUUAAAAUUGAAAGGUACACUUGGGAGAUUUCUCUUAACCAAUUUUGUGGUUGAAUGUAUUUCAGAACCUCCUCCUGAUAGUACUUCAUAGUUUAAACAUAACAGAAAAAUAAUAACCCGUCCAUACUUAUAUGUAUUUAUUGAGUGUGUGUGUGUGUGAUUGUUUGGCUGAACUAUUUAUAGUAAUGAAUUAUAACACGAUGUUUGAAUAUGAAACAUAUAUUAUAUAAUGCUGAGAAUUUAUAAUAGACAUCAAGCCAUAUCAAUCCCCCGACAUCAAGAGACAUUUAACUACAUUCCAACAUCGGUGAGUGCUAUUUUCCCCCAAAUCUUAUCGUGCUCCACAUGCUAGUUACUUCUUUGCCUUGCCUUAUGAUAAUUAUAACUUCAAUAUCAAAACCACUCAUUCAUUAUUCUUUUUAUUAGAUGGACAAAAGCUGGAUGACUUUGGGUGAUAGACUUCUAUCACCUGCUUACGCUGAAGGGGUUAACAAUUUACUUACAAUGGCACAAAACCAUGCCAUGGGAAGUGAUUGCAUUCAGUAUCCCUGUCGUAUAUGCUGAAAUAAUCUCUUAUUGCCUAUACUUGAGGUGGAGUCUCACUUGUUCAUAAAAGAGAUAGAUCCAAAUUACACCCACUGGAUAUUUCAUGGGGAGGAGGAAAUACUCCCCACCAUUGACGAUGAUGGCAAUCCCGUGGUUGAAAGUGGAGAUGUGUACAUUGAUAACAUGGACCGUAUGUUAGAUGACAUACAGGCAGCCACAUUCGGAGAUGCUCCUCAAGACAACACUACAUCACCAACUCACUCAGCAAUACGACAGGCCUCCCCAAACUCAACUUUUGACCAACUAUUAGAGGAUGCCCGAUGUCCUCUUUUCGAGGGCUACACAAAUUUCUCAAAGAUCUCUUUCGUUGUGAAGUUGUUACACAUUAAAACAUUUGGUGGGUGGUCAAUCAAGUCUUUUGAUAUGCUCCUAAGCCUUUUGCGGUUAGCCUUUCCUGAUGCUGAAUUGCUACAAUCAUAUAAAGAGACAAUGACAUUGGAGCAAGGUUUGGGUUUCACGUACCACAAAAUACAUGCAUGCCCUAAUGAUUGCAUCUUAUUCUGAAACAAAAAUUCUAAUCUUAAUGAGUGUCCUAUCUGUAAGGCGUUGUGAUGGAUGCCAAAUACACACUGUCACGAGUGAUCCCUCAAAAAGCGCUUCUGUAUUUUCCUUUGAAGCCAAGAUUGCAGCGUCUCUUUGUGUCAAGCAAGAUAGCGGGUGACAUGAGAUGGCAUAAAGAGCAGCGGGUCACCGAUGAGACUAGUAUGAGACAUCCUACUGAUUCUGAGUCUUGGAAGACAUUUGAUCAAGCUCAUAGUUGGUUUGCAAGAGAUGCUCGCAAUGUGAGGCUCGGUUUGGCAAGCGAUGGGUUCAAUCCCUUUAACAAUCUGGCUAAACCUUAUAGCAUUUGGCCAGUGAUUCUUGUCCCGUAUAACUUACCGCUGUGGUUAUGCAUGAAAGAUUUGUUUUUCAUGACAUCCCUCAUUAUCCUUGGCCCAAAAUCACCAAGAAUAACAUUGAUAUUUAUUUGCAACCGUUAAUUGAUGAGUUACUUGAACUUUAGGAACAUGGGGUACCUACAUAUGAUGCAUCCACUAAGGAAAUAUUCAUGUUACAUUCUGCCUUGUUGUGGACAAUCAAUGACUUUCCUGUCUAUGAAAAUCUGUCUGGGUGGUCAACAAAAGAGAAAUUGGCAUGUCUGUCUUGCAAUGCAAGUAUAGAUUCCAAUUGGUUGAAGUAUGGUAGAAAACAUUGUUAUAUGGGACAUCGACAUCUCUAUCCAGCUAUCACAUUUGGCGAACGAGAAAAUGAUUAUUCAACGGUAAAGAAGAUCUUCGCAUGCCACUAACAUUGGUUGAAGGAGCGGAUCUUUUAACUUAGUUACAAAUGCUUGGAGAUAUUCAAUUUGGAAAAUUUUGUAGGAAGAGAAAACACACUGCAAAAGAGUUGAACUAGACAAAGAAAAGCAUCUUCUUCAAACUACUUUAUUGGUCAACAAUGCGGCUUAGAUAUAAUUUAGAUGUUAUGCAUAUUGAGAAGAAUAUUUUCGAAAACAUAUUGGGCACUUUAAUAAACAUUCCCGGUAAGACAAAAGAUAACACUAAUUCACAGCAUGAUCUAGAGAUCUUGGGCUUUAGAAAGGAAUUACAUUUGAAACGUAAAGGUGAACGAACUAGAAUGCCAUAUGCAUCAUACACAUUACAUGGAGAUGAAAGGAAUAAAUUUUGUGAGUGGCUUGCUGAGGUUAAAUUUCCAGAUGGGUUUGCUGCUAAUAUCACACACUGUGUAUAUGUACGUGAUUCCAAGAUCUUUGGGCUCAAAAGCCAUGACCAUCAUGUUUUCUUGCAAACAUUACUUCCUAUUGCUGUUGGGGGGGGGUUCUUAAGGAGGGAUAGCUUUGACUGAACUUAGUAGUUUCUUCAAAGAGUUGUGCGCCUGAACACUAGAUGUGAAUCGCCUAUCAAAGCUUCAGCUUGAUAUCGUCACCAUUCUAUGUAAACUGGAGAUGAUUUUCCCUCAAUCUUUUUUCGAUGUUAUGGUCCACCUAGCUGUUCAUUUAUCCCGUGAGGCUAUUCUUGGAGGUCCAGUUCAAUAUCGGUAGAUGUACCCGUUUGAGAGGUAUCUUGGUAAGUUUAAGCGGUAUGUUAAGAACAAAGCGCGUCCAAAAGGUUCAAUAGCGGAAGCCUGGGUUCACAUUGAGUGUUUGCCAUUUUGCUCGAUGUAUCUCUAAGAUGUUGAGACGAAGUUUAAUCGACCGGACCGUAACAUUGAUGGUGUAGAAGAGGAGACUCUAGAUGGGUUGAAAAUUUUCAACCAGAAACUUCGUCCCUUGGGUAUAGCUAAUAGUGUGCAAUUAGACGAUAAACUCCAUACAACAGCCAUUUGGUACGUGCUUAACAACUGCAUUGAGAUUGGACCCUAUUUGGAGUAAGCAAUCAUUACUUUCUUCGUGCUUUCUCGAAACAACCUACUACCUUACCAUUUAAUUGACGUCACUGACUAAUUUUGUUUCUCCCAUUGUGUUCUAUAAAUGCAGUGAACACUACUACAAAUGCAAGGUGUCAAACUCAAAUUCUAUUGAUUGCACGCAAUAAACUGAGUUUCCAAAUUGGUUCAAGCAACAUGUAAGUUAGCUUGUUAGUUAUCUACUUAGAAUAUACCCGACCCGCAUAUGACAAUGUAUAGUGAAACUAUAAGUUCACGAUUUGCCCCGAUAUUCAUAUAGGUGGUGGACCAGCGUAACAACAAUCCACUUGAUGUGUCCCCAAAUUUGUAUGCGUUAGCUUGCGGUCCUGAUCGUUGGGUUGCAACAUAUGCUGCCUGUAUUAUAAAUGGUAAACGGUUCCAUACGAAGCCUCGUGAACUUCACCGGCGUUCACAAAAUUCCAGGGUGUUGGUAACUGGUGACCAAGAUACUAAUAAUGUAGAUUUUUAUAGUGUUAUAAAAGAUGUUGUGGAAUUACACUACAUGGGAGGUAGUAGAGUGUACUUGUUCAGUUGUGAUUGGUUUGAUGUUGGUGAUAAAAAAUGAGGGGUACGAGUAGAUGAUCAUUUAACUAGUGUUAAUAUGAAUAGGACUUGGUAUAAGGAUGAACCAUAUGUGCUGACAUGCCAGGCUUCCCAGUGUUUUUACAUUAGGGAUAUAAGGGCGAAAGGGAACUGGUUUUUUGUGCAGAAAUAUAAUAAUAGGAAUGUGUAUGACAUUCCACCAGUGCACAGGGUUUUAGACGGUAAUGAUGGCGAAUCAAGUGACGAUGAUGCCUAUCAAGAGAUUGAGUCAUCAUAUGAUUAACCACUUUUGCAUUGUGAUGCAUGUCCAGUGUCAACUCCACUUAGUAGGACUGAUAUAGAACCUACCCAUAUUGAUGCACGAGACCACAUGGAGUCGGGUGGUGCACGCAGAAAUUCACCAGAUUUUAUUGAUGAUGGCAUGGUUCCAUCUGGUUCUGGAGAUACUUAUGGUGAUUGGGAGUAUUCAGAUAAUGAGAACCCAUCCACUGAGGAAGAGUCUGACUCAAAAUAGGCAACUGCCAACAUAAUUCGGUAAGGGUGAAUUCUCAUAAUCAAAACAUAUGAAUAUCUAUAUUAUAAACGCUAACAUUUGAAUAAUCGGCUGCCAAUUUGUUAGAAGCAUGAACUUGCAUUUGACUUGAUUAUUAUUUAAACCAUACCAGCAUUUAUAAACCACAUAUUUGGGUACUGCAUAUUCAGCCAUACUCGACAAGUCUUAUUAAUUUAAUGCAUUAUCUUAUUAGAAGGUGAGCUUAUAUUUGUAUUACAUGUCUCUUGAGGUACAUUGAUGACAGACAUUAUUAAUCCAUCUCUGGUUGGGUUCGAAAGAAGAACAAGUUUGAUGUCGUGUUCUUAAAAAAUCCAUUGCAAUCGUAUCUCAAAAUUAGUCGUUCACGAGGAGCAUGGGCCCAGGUGACCCAGUGGGAGCCAAUGGUCAAGGUCGGCCCAGAGGCCGAGGAUUCUGUGGUAGAAGACUUGUGCCUUAUUCAUGCCAAGCUCGCCGGCCACGCAGUGUUCGGAUUAGUUCAUACCAUAGUCCAGGAGAUGUGGACGAGGCUAGCUCUGAUGACUCUACCCAACUCCCAAGUCAUCCAUGGGAGCCACCAUGUGCGACCACACCACUGGAGCCCGAGCCUAACAGAGUCACCUCACCCAGUAUAAGGUUGGAGCUUGAUAGAGAUCAAAUCGUAGUGGAUGCCCCCACGGAGCCACACAGAGUGACCUCACUCGACAUUCCACCAAAGCUUGUUGGAGAUGGUGUUGGCAUGAGGACAGUUACAACGAUGUUGAGAGUAUUAGCAAGGAAAAAAAUUUGCUGGUAAAGAGCCUAACAGAGUGACCUCACCCAAUAUAGAGCUAGAGUCUGCUGGAGUUCAAAUCGGUGAGGACACCCCCACAAAGCCUGUACAAAACUAGGCACAAAGGAGAUGUGGACGUGGGCCAGCCAAGUGCACUGAAUUUGAAAAAUUGCAGAAGUAUGGAAAUGUGCUAUUGAAGAUAAAUAAUGGAGAAACCGCACCAUGAUGUUCAAACGCCAACAUGUUUACAACACGAGUUACGUGGAUAGUUAAACAUCACUGUGACAUGAGUUAUACAAGAUGGAGUGAUGUACCCCAAGCACAUAAGGAUGCGUUAAUCGAUCGUGUUCAGGUAAGACUUUUCACUUUCAUGUUGGUGGGUUGAAAGUGGUUGUAGUAAAUAUUGAUGACAUCACAUACAUUUGAUUAUAUAUGUAGGGUGAUUUUGAACUUAAUUGGGAAUUGAAGAACCAUCGAUUGACAGUAACGAAACAGUUUCGGUAGAGAUUUAAUGCAUUCCACCAUGAAUUGCAUAACAUAUAUUUAUCCUAUGGCAGCCACGAUGAAGCAUUAACUAGUGGGACUAAAUGAGUCAGCCCCCUUGUUUGGGUUAAGCUAUGUACAAGAUGGGGUAGCGAGGCCUUCAAGAUUCCUGACUAUGUGUUAUAUAUACACAUUCCACACACAUGUAGAGGGCUGAAUCGGCGAAUUUGGUAGACUUCUUCAAGGAAACCCACUGGUCCAAGAAGAAUUCAAAAUUUGUAACACCUACCACCGAAGACAAAUAUAAAGAUAUGGUUGGAAAGCUAGAUAGUCUAGUACCAGAGCAACGAACUGAUGAAGCAGCAGCGGGUGUCUUCAGAGAGGUACUUGGUCAUAGACCACGUUAUGCAAGAGGAUUAGGAGAGAUGGUAAUCCCAGAGUUUACGAGACAACGCUCAUUGGCACGAGAGAAAGAGUACAUAGCUUUGAUUGAAAAAUAUAAGAAAGAGGCUGAAUCUUCUAAGAGUGAGAUGGAGGCAAUGAAGGCAAACAUGCAGAAGCUGUUGGAGAGACAAGAGGAAACAGACUGCCUAUUGAGGGCUUUCUUCACUGCUAACCCGUCCCUUAGUGAGUCUCUUCGAGAGACUCAAUGAGCGGGUUUUUGUGAGAAGAUAUGAAAAGGUUUUUUGUGGCUUUUUGGGUGCAUAUUUUGUCGUUCCAAUGGUGGAUAGACAAUAUAUAUAUCCGAUGGAAGGUUAGAUGUAUAUGUUUUGUAGGAGCACGCUGGGUUGGGCAAAGCUUAAUUUUUGGGCUCUUUGAGAUAUCCUUAAUUAUAUAUGAUAGUUUAGGCAACCUACAUGGGAUGAUAUUAAGCUAUGUGGUAAUAUCAAACAGGUAAAUAUCUAAGCCACCACUAUCUUAUUACUUAUAACAUAUUUUCUUGGCAUG